UCCCUGGUGGUCUAGCGGUUAAGGAUCAGCAUUGUCACUGCUAUGUCUUGGGUUCGAUCCCUGGCCUGGGAA
RNAcentral lists this transfer RNA (72 nucleotides) under Sus scrofa (pig). It matches the Rfam family "tRNA". From Rfam's summary of the family: Transfer RNA (tRNA) molecules are approximately 80 nucleotides in length. Their secondary structure includes four short double-helical elements and three loops (D, anti-codon, and T loops). The record is from Rfam by way of RNAcentral. Lineage: Eukaryota; Metazoa; Chordata; Mammalia; Artiodactyla; Suidae.